CUGCAGGUGGCCCAGCAGCAGGCUGAGGAGCUGCGGCAGGAGCGGGAGAAGCUGCAGGCUGCCCAGGAGGAGCUGCGGCGCCAGCGGGACCGGCUGGAGGAAGAGCAGGAGGACGCAGUGCAGGAUGGCGCGCGGGUGCGCCGGGAGCUUGAGCGCAGCCAUAGACAACUAGAGCAGCUGGAAGGGAAGCGCUCAGUCCUGGCCAAGGAGCUGGUGGAGGUGAGGGAGGCGCUGAGCCACGCCACGCUGCAACGGGACAUGCUACAGGCUGAGAAGGCCGAGGUGUCCGAGGCGCUGACCAAGGCUGAGGCUGGCCGCGUGGAGCUCGAGCUCUCCAUGACCAAGCUGAGGGCAGAGGAGGCCUCCCUGCAGGACUCCCUGUCCAAGCUGAGCGCCCUCAACGAGAGCCUUGCUCAGGACAAGUUGGAUCUGAACCGCCUUGUCGCCCAGCUGGAGGCAGAAAAGGCUGCCCUGCAGGGCCGGCAGCGGCAGGCGGAGCAGGAGGCCACAGUGGCGCGGGAGGAGCAGGAGCGGCUGGAGGAGCUGCGGUUGGAGCAGGAGGUGGCGCGGCAGGGCCUGGAGGGCUCCCUACGAGUGGCGGAGCAGGCCCAGGAGGCGCUGGAGCAGCAGCUCCCCACGCUGCGCCAUGAGCGUAGCCGGCUGCAGGAGCAGCUAGCGCAGACGGCGUCUCGCUCUGUAGCUCAGGCUGGAUUGCAGUGGUGUA
This 724-nucleotide small RNA is filed under the name Pongo abelii (Sumatran orangutan). RNAcentral's name for it is "processed transcript". The record is from RNAcentral. Lineage: Eukaryota; Metazoa; Chordata; Mammalia; Primates; Hominidae.